This 254-nucleotide ribosomal RNA is filed under the name uncultured bacterium. RNAcentral's name for it is "partial 16S ribosomal RNA". It matches the Rfam family "Bacterial small subunit ribosomal RNA", at positions 524 to 776 of the family's 1533-position model. The record is from RNAcentral.
CACGUAGGGUGCGAGCGUUGUCCGGAAUUAUUGGGCGUAAAGAGCUCGUAGGCGGUGUGUCGCGUCGGCCGUGAAAACCUGCAGCUUAACUGUGGGCUUGCGGUCGAUACGGGCAUCACUGGAGUUCGGCAGGGGAGACUGGAAUUCCUGGUGUAGCGGUGAAAUGCGCAGAUAUCAGGAGGAACACCGGUGGCGAAGGCGGGUCUCUGGGCCGAUACUGACGCUGAUGCGCGAAAGCGUGGGUAGCAAACAGG